RNAcentral lists this transfer RNA (75 nucleotides) under Pseudomonadota bacterium. Its description in RNAcentral is "tRNA-Pro". It matches the Rfam family "tRNA". Rfam says of the family: Transfer RNA (tRNA) molecules are approximately 80 nucleotides in length. The record is from RNAcentral. Lineage: Bacteria; Pseudomonadati; Pseudomonadota. RNAcentral also lists the same sequence under 1 other name.
CGGGGCGUGGCUCAGCUUGGCUAGAGCGCUUGCAUGGGGUGCAAGAGGUCCCGAGUUCAAAUCUCGGCGCCCCGA